UUAAAUUGAGAGUUUGAUCCUGGCUCAGGAUGAACGCUGGCGGCGUGCUUAACACAUGCAAGUCGAGCGAUGAAGUUUCCUUCGGGAAACGGAUUAGCGGCGGACGGGUGAGUAACACGUGGGUAACCUGCCUCAUAGAGUGGAAUAGCCUUCCGAAAGGAAGAUUAAUACCGCAUAACGUUGAAAGAUGGCAUCAUCAUUUAACCAAAGGAGCAAUCCGCUAUGAGAUGGACCCGCGGCGCAUUAGCUAGUUGGUGGGGUAACGGCCUACCAAGGCGACGAUGCGUAGCCGACCUGAGAGGGUGAUCGGCCACAUUGGGACUGAGACACGGCCCAGACUCCUACGGGAGGCAGCAGUGGGGAAUAUUGCACAAUGGGGGAAACCCUGAUGCA
This 393-nucleotide ribosomal RNA is filed under the name Clostridium perfringens. Its description in RNAcentral is "bacterial SSU rRNA". It matches the Rfam family "Bacterial small subunit ribosomal RNA", at positions 1 to 390 of the family's 1533-position model. The record is from RNAcentral. Lineage: Bacteria; Bacillati; Bacillota; Clostridia; Eubacteriales; Clostridiaceae.